This 212-nucleotide unclassified non-coding RNA is filed under the name uncultured fungus. RNAcentral describes it as "sequence contains ITS1". Lineage: Eukaryota; Fungi. The record is from RNAcentral.
UUAACUAUUAUAUAGUACUCAGACGUCACUAAAACAAAAGAGUUUGGGUCCUCUGGCGGGCACGGUCAGCCGGAGCCGACGCCCGAAGGCGGCCUGCCAAAGCAACAAAGGUAGGUAGACACGGUUGUGGGAUUAGAACCCGAUUGACGAACAAAAACGGGGCGUUUAAUCUUUUUUCAUUAAUGAUCCUUCCGCAGGUUCACCUACGGAAA